RNAcentral lists this ribosomal RNA (301 nucleotides) under uncultured bacterium. RNAcentral describes it as "partial 16S ribosomal RNA". It matches the Rfam family "Bacterial small subunit ribosomal RNA", at positions 509 to 807 of the family's 1533-position model. The record is from RNAcentral.
CAGUAGCCGCGGUAAAACGGAGGGGGCUAGCGUUGUUCGGAAUUACUGGGCGUAAAGCGUACGUAGGCGGUUUUGUAAGUUAGAGGUGAAAGCCCGGAGCUCAACUCCGGAAUUGCCUUUAAGACUGCAUCACUUGAACGUCGGAGAGGUGAGUGGAAUUCCGAGUGUAGAGGUGAAAUUCGUAGAUGUUCGGAAGAACACCAGUGGCGAAGGCGGCUCACUGGACGACUGUUGACGCUGAGGUACGAAAGCGUGGGGAGCAAACAGGAUUAGAUACCCGAGUAGUCCCUGUCUCUUAUAC